This 69-nucleotide transfer RNA is filed under the name Tomicus piniperda (common pine shoot beetle). RNAcentral describes it as "tRNA-Met". It matches the Rfam family "tRNA". From Rfam's summary of the family: Transfer RNA (tRNA) molecules are approximately 80 nucleotides in length. The record is from RNAcentral. Lineage: Eukaryota; Metazoa; Arthropoda; Insecta; Coleoptera; Curculionidae.
AAAAAGAUAAGCUAAAUAAGCUAGUGGAUUCAUACCCCAUUUAUAAAGGUUUUGCUCCUUUUCUUUUUA